RNAcentral lists this microRNA precursor (67 nucleotides) under Drosophila simulans. RNAcentral describes it as "Dsi-Mir-22-P2_pre stem-loop". It matches the Rfam family "mir-980 microRNA precursor family", at positions 11 to 70 of the family's 80-position model. The record is from RNAcentral. Lineage: Eukaryota; Metazoa; Arthropoda; Insecta; Diptera; Drosophilidae.
AGUUUUUCAUUUGGCGUGGCUAGCUCACUACUUUUUUAAUAUUGCUAGCUGCCUUGUGAAGGGCUUA